RNAcentral lists this ribosomal RNA (315 nucleotides) under uncultured Enterobacteriaceae bacterium. RNAcentral describes it as "bacterial SSU rRNA". It matches the Rfam family "Bacterial small subunit ribosomal RNA", at positions 355 to 655 of the family's 1533-position model. Lineage: Bacteria; Pseudomonadati; Pseudomonadota; Gammaproteobacteria; Enterobacterales; Enterobacteriaceae. The record is from RNAcentral.
UGGGGAAUAUUGCACAAUGGGCGCAAGCCUGAUGCAGCCAUGCCGCGUGUAUGAAGAAGGCCUUCGGGUUGUAAAGUACUUUCAGCGGGAGGAAGGAUGUUGAGGUUAAUAACCUCAGCAAUUGACGUUACCCGCAGAAGAAGACAACCGGCUAACCGUCCGUAGCCAGCAGCCGCGGGUAAUACGGAGGGUGCAAGCGUUAAUCGGAAUUACUGGGCGUAAAGCGCACGCAGGCGGUCUGUCAAGUCGGAUGUGAAAUCCCCCGGGCUCAACCUGGGAACUGCAUUCGAAACUGGCAGGCUGGAGUCUUGUAGA